Camelus ferus (Wild Bactrian camel) is the source of this 73-nucleotide transfer RNA. It matches the Rfam family "tRNA". Rfam says of the family: Transfer RNA (tRNA) molecules are approximately 80 nucleotides in length. Their secondary structure includes four short double-helical elements and three loops (D, anti-codon, and T loops). Further hydrogen bonds mediate the characteristic L-shaped molecular structure. tRNAs have two regions of fundamental functional importance: the anti-codon, which is responsible for specific mRNA codon recognition, and the 3' end, to which the tRNAs corresponding amino acid is attached (by aminoacyl-tRNA synthetases). tRNAs cope with the degeneracy of the genetic code in two manners: having more than one tRNA (with a specific anti-codon) for a particular amino acid; and 'wobble' base-pairing, i.e. permitting non-standard base-pairing at the 3rd anti-codon position. Lineage: Eukaryota; Metazoa; Chordata; Mammalia; Artiodactyla; Camelidae. The record is from Rfam.
GUGGGUAUAGCUCAAGUGGUAGAGCACAUGUUUAGCAUGCACAAAGUCCUGUGUUCAAUCCCCAGUACCUCCU